RNAcentral lists this unclassified non-coding RNA (237 nucleotides) under Hevea brasiliensis (rubber tree). The record is from RNAcentral. Lineage: Eukaryota; Viridiplantae; Streptophyta; Magnoliopsida; Malpighiales; Euphorbiaceae.
GUCUAUGUCCCAAUCAAUAAUUCACACUGAUAUAAUCAUCUUCAGUUCACACGGUAGCAGUUUCGUACUCUUAAAAACAAUAUUGGCUCCCCUUGUGUGGGCUUUGAAAUCCUUCAUCCGCUGCAAAAAUUGACCCAGCUUUUAAUAUAAAUAUAAAUUAUUUUCCAUGGGAGAAUAUAUCGAUUGAUAUUCGAUGGAAAUUAUUUUUUGUCAUCCUUCUUCUCCUCUUUCUUCUCU